GUCCUUGAGUAAGACACUUAACUCCAGGUUGCUCCGGGGGGAUUGUCCCUGUAAUAAGUGCACUGUAUAAUACAUUGGUACUCAGAAGGUUGCUGGUUCGAUCCCCACAGUCACCACCAUUGUGUCCUUGAGUAAGACACUUAACUCCAGGUUGCUCCGGGGGGAUUGUCCCUGUAAUAAGUGCUCUGUAUAAUACAUUGGUACUCAGAAGGUUGCUGGUUUGAUCCCCACAGUCACCACCAUUGUGUCCUUGAGUAAGGCACUUAACUCCAGCUUGCUCCGGGGGGGAUUGUCCCUGUAAUAAGUGCUCUGUAUAAUACAUUGGUAAUCAGAAGGUUGCUGGUUUCAUCCCCACAGUCACCACCAUUGUGUCCUUGAGUAAGGCACUUAACUCCAGGUUGCUCCGGGGGGGAUUGUCCCUGUAAUAAGUGCUCUGUAUAAUACAUUGGUACUCAGAAGGUUGCUGGUUUGAUCCCCACAGUCACCACCAUUGUGUCCUUGAGUAAGACACUUAACUCCAGGUUGCUCCGGGGGGAUUGUCCCUGUAAUAAGUGCUCUGUAUAAUACAUUGGUACUCAGAAGGUUGCUGGUUUGAUCCCCACAGUCACCACCAUUGUGUCCUUGAGUAAGACACUUAA
This is a long non-coding RNA of Xyrauchen texanus (razorback sucker), 638 nucleotides long. RefSeq lists it as uncharacterized. The record is from RefSeq and is a predicted model, not a curated record. The transcript has 3 exons. NCBI's taxonomy places the organism in Eukaryota, Metazoa, Chordata, Actinopteri, Cypriniformes, Catostomidae.